CGAUUCUUCUUAUUGGUGUUGAUAGAUUUAUAGCUAUUACUCGUCCGUUGAGAUAUCAUGUUUUGGUUACUGGUAAAGUAGUUUGGUUUGGAGUAACACUAGCUUGGAGUACAGCACUGAUUCUUAGUGUUGGACAUUAUUUGAGUUACAAAAGAGUGCUGCUGAAUAUUCAUAAAAACUACGAGUUUUCUCUAUCAUGCUUAUCCAUUGGACAUAUGGUUGCAAUGUCGAUAAUUUACACUGUAAUACUUAAGGCUGCAAGAAAGCAAGUUAAGUCUGCAUUUUUGCUCCAGACAAGCUGUAGGAAUGCAGAUUCCGGCUCAUCAUUCACUUUGCAUUAUAGGAAAAGUGCUUACACUACGUUUUGUAUUGUAUGUCUAUUCUACGCGACGUUCAUGCCAUAUUCUGUGUAUAGAAUUAUAACACAUUUUGAUGAUACUAUAACUAAGACAUCAAAACGUAUAACAUGGCGCUGGUUGAUGUCCUUUACGUUCUUAAAUUCUUGUCUCAAUCCCUAUAUAUACUUUUUUGGGAUGAGGAAAUUUAGAUAUACAUUUAAAAGUUUGCUGAACAUGUAUACCAAGACUGCAAAUACUACUCUCUAAGCUGAAGCUGUAAAAUUUAGUUAAACCUGUAAAUUUCUUUUUGUGCAAAUGUUUUUUUAUACUCGUGCUGCCCUUACCAAAAUUGAACUGUAUAACAUCUUGAUUUGGUUUCCGCUUCUUCAUUUUCGUUCACG
This is a non-coding RNA of Paramuricea clavata, 739 nucleotides long. NCBI's taxonomy places the organism in Eukaryota, Metazoa, Cnidaria, Anthozoa, Malacalcyonacea, Plexauridae. The record is from the annotation of a GenBank genome assembly.